ACAUUGACUCUGGUUCUUGGGAGCGAGCUCGGGGGGUCUGCCCCGCUGCACCUUGAGGAUCACCCAGGCUGCUCCUCAGCUCCUUCCCAGCUGGGACACUCCAGGCAGGGAGCUGGGGCCACCCUGCACAUCCAGGGGAGCCUCUCCAAGGCAAGGAGCAGGAAACUCUCCCAGGGAGAAAAGGAUCCCUGGAAAAAGCUGAAAUCUAAUCCUACCUUGGUUAACAUAACAGAGAGAACAGGAAGCGCUGUGAAGGAAUUUUUCAUUCCCUGGGACGUCUUUGAUCCCGCUCCCCUCCCUUUUCCUAUCAGAUCCCUUUCGGUGCCUUUCUCCAUAGGGAAUUCCUGGCUCUGUGCAAGGAGCUCAGACACCUUUCCCAGGAGAAAACUCCAGCAGGUUUGGAACACAAUCUUCCCUGAACGGAUCAGCACCUGGAGCUCUCCCGUGGAUGAGCAAAAGGGAUUAAUGAAUUUUCAUUAUUUGCCAACACAAAGUCAUAUCCUAGAGGUGACAACAUCCAGAAUUUUCCAUCUGACCCACCCAACCUUUCAGAUCUUCCAGCUGUUCCAAGGGCUUUGUUGGGUUAAGUGCAGAAAGGGCUGGAGGCAAAGCUGUGUUUUGUACUCCACCAUAUCGCUUCCAUAGACCAGUUAAAGGUGUAAAUAAUAGAAACAACUUCUUUCAAAACUGCAAUUAAAAAAGAGGGGGGGAAAAAAAAAAAUCUCAGAGUAAUUAAACUUAAUUUUGUUUCUAAUUAGAUGCUGGUUCUAGAAACCAGUCCAGAGCUACUCUUUGCAUGGUGUUUGCAAGUUCUCUUUACCAGAUGAGCUCCUGGAGUGACAAGUGGAGAUCUAAUAAACCUCCUGAUCCUGCUCUGCCCCUGUGAUAA
RNAcentral lists this long non-coding RNA (889 nucleotides) under Cyanistes caeruleus (blue tit). Its description in RNAcentral is "lncRNA (ENSCCEG00000017800.1)". Lineage: Eukaryota; Metazoa; Chordata; Aves; Passeriformes; Paridae. The record is from RNAcentral.